This is a long non-coding RNA of Oncorhynchus tshawytscha (Chinook salmon), 1507 nucleotides long. The record is from Ensembl. NCBI's taxonomy places the organism in Eukaryota, Metazoa, Chordata, Actinopteri, Salmoniformes, Salmonidae.
UUUCCCUCUAGUGGUGGGGGGGCUGUGCUUUGGCAAAGUGGGUGGGGUUAUAUCCUGCUAUUUGGCCCUGUCCGUAGUAAUCUGUCGGACAGGGCCACAGUGUCUCCCGACUAGAGGUCAACCGAUUAAUCGUAAUGGUAGAUUAAUUAGGGCAGAUUUCAAGUUUUCAUAACAAUCGGUAACAAUCAGUAAUGGACACCGAUCAUGGCCUAUUACAUUGCACUCCAUGAGGAGACUGCGUGGCAGACUGACUACCUGUUAUGCGAGUGCAGCAAGGAGCCGAGGUAAGGACCUGAGCCCUAAGGACCAUGCCUCAGGACUACCUGGCCUGAUGACUCCUUGCUGUCCCCAGUCCACCUGGUCAUGCUGCUGCUCCAUUUUCAACUGUUCUGCCUACAGCUAUUGAAUCCUGACCCGUUCACUGGGCAUGCUACCUUGUCCCGGACCUGCUGUUUUGGACUCUCUCUCUACCGCACCUGCUGUUUCUAAAUCUGAAUGAUCGGCUAUGAAAACCCAACUGACAUUUACUCCUGAGGUGCUGACCUGUUGCACCCUCUACAACGAUUGUGAUUAUAAUUAUCUGACUCUGCUGGUCAUCUAUGAACGUUUGAACAUCUUGGCCAUGUUCUGUUAUAAUCUCCACCUGGCACAGCCAGAAGAGGACUGGCCACCGCUCAGAGCCUGGUUCCUCUCUAGGUUUCUUCCUAGGUUCUGGCCAUUCUAUGGAGUUUUUCCUAGCCACUGUGCUUCUACAUCUGCAUUGCUUGCUGUUUGGGGUUUUAGGCUGGGUUUCUGUACAGCACUGUGUGACAUUGGCUGAUGUAAAAAGGGCUUUAUAAAUAAAUUUGAUUGAUUUAUGGGUGGUCCUGGGAGUGCAUAGGACCGCCCACUCGAAAGCCACGCCUACCCACUGUGUGGCCAGGCCCAGCCAAUCAGAAUGAGUUUUUCCCUACAAAAGGACUUUAUUACAGACAGAAAUGUUGUUCCAAGCACAAGGUGUAUCUGUGUAAUGACCAUGCUGUUUAAUUAUCUUAUUGAUAUGCCACACCUGUCAGGUGUAUGGGUUAUCUUGACAAAGGAUAAAAUGCUCACUAACAGGGAUGUAAACAAAUUUCUGCCAAAAUAUUGAGAGAAAUAAGCUUCUUGUGUCAAUGGAACAUUUCCGGGAUCUUUUAUUUCAGCUCAUGAAACCAACACUUUACAUGUUGCGUUUAUGACUUCAAAAACGAGACGGUUAAUUUUCUAUAUUUGAAGAUGAGCUCUUUGGACAUAAAGACAACUGAGCUGCUUCUUCUCUUUCCACAUCAGACACUCAGCAUAACAUUCAUAAAUUAAGAAAAUGAACUGCCAUUGCCUGAGGUGACUUUGCCAGCUAUUUAAAUCUACAAAUUCACAACAUCUUCCCCAUACUUAAUCUAAUUGAACUAACUGCAGGGUUGCUUUAAUAAGAAAAAAAUAUAGUAAUUUGUCCCAAAUGGCACCCUAUUCCUAUAGUGCACCACUUUUG